Molecule: ribosomal RNA, 253 nt
Filed under: uncultured bacterium
Lineage: Bacteria
Description: partial 16S ribosomal RNA
Rfam family: Bacterial small subunit ribosomal RNA
Source: RNAcentral
UACAGAGGUCUCAAGCGUUGUUCGGAAUCACUGGGCGUAAAGGGUGCGUAGGUGGCGGGGUAAGUCAGAUGUGAAAGCCCAGGGCUCAACCCUGGAAUUGCAUCCGAUACUGCUUUGCUAGAGUACUGGAGGGGUGACUAGAAUUCUCGGUGUAGCAGUGAAAUGCGUAGAUAUCGAGAGGAAUACCAAAGGCGUAGGCAGGUCACUGGACAGUUACUGACACUGAGGCACGAAGGCCAGGGGAGCGAACGGG